UACAGAGGUCUCAAGCGUUGUUCGGAUUCAUUGGGCGUAAAGGGUGCGUAGGCGGCGCGGUAAGUCGGGUGUGAAAUCUCGGAGCUUAACUCCGAAACUGCAUUCGAUACUGCCGUGCUUGAGGACUGGAGAGGAGACUGGAAUUUACGGUGUAGCGGUGAAAUGCGUAGAUAUCAGGAGGAACACCGGUGGCGAAGGCGGCUCUCUGGACGGUGACUGACGCUGAGACGCGAAAGCGUGGGGAGCAAACAGG
RNAcentral lists this ribosomal RNA (253 nucleotides) under uncultured bacterium. RNAcentral's name for it is "partial 16S ribosomal RNA". It matches the Rfam family "Bacterial small subunit ribosomal RNA", at positions 524 to 776 of the family's 1533-position model. The record is from RNAcentral.